Molecule: long non-coding RNA, 512 nt
Organism: Phyllostomus discolor (pale spear-nosed bat)
Lineage: Eukaryota; Metazoa; Chordata; Mammalia; Chiroptera; Phyllostomidae
Exons: 3
Source: RefSeq, a predicted model, not a curated record
AAUUCCCUAGGGCUUUUAUGAGGAUCGAAGCUAAUGUACACAUGGUGCCAAACAGAGAGCCUGAUGCAAGGCAGCGGCCUUCCAUCAAUAAUAGCCGUCAUCAUCAUCAUCGUCGUCAUCCCCAGAGUUAUCUUGCUGUCCUAGGCUCUGUUGUCAUGCAGCAUCUGUUUCUUCUCUAAUGACAACUCUGGGAAAUAGUUAACACUAUUGACAUAACCACUUCUCAGCUGAGCAAGCUGAGGCUGGGAUGUUGUCAAACGACUCUGCCGUAGUCACACUGCUAAUACUCAUUAACAGGGGAUGUGCACGCCCAGGUCUGUCCCACGACAGUCCUACUUUGGCAAGUGAAAGAGAAAAUUAGAGAGUAUCGAGACAGUGACUCCAUGGAGAUGCUUCCCUUCAUGGAGUUAAGGCCUCCUUGCACGUGCCAGGGAGUGCUCACCUAAUUUUUGGGCUUUGAACUUCUGUGACCUGAUUUAAUCUUAACUCUGCCAUCUAUGGGCUGUCUGUUC